This is a long non-coding RNA of Drosophila virilis, 930 nucleotides long. RefSeq lists it as uncharacterized. Lineage: Eukaryota; Metazoa; Arthropoda; Insecta; Diptera; Drosophilidae. The record is from RefSeq and is a predicted model, not a curated record.
CCAAACAUUUCAACGAUUCAUGGACCAAAUAUUUCGUGAUAUGAACAAUUGCAUUGUCUACAUUGAAGACAUCUGCAUCGCAUCGCAAAAUGAAGAGGAGAAUUAUCAGCAUGUCAAGGAUGUGUUUGGCUGACUACGCAAGGACAGCUGCAAAAGCUAAUCAGAGGCAACAAAAAGAAGGACAAGACGCCAACAGUGUGGAACGCCGAAGCAGACCAGAUGUUCGUGCAGUGCAAGACCGAUUUGGCACGCGUGACAACAUUAGCGCAUACAUCCGCAAAUGCUAAACUGGUACUGCACGUCGACGCGAUUAGCUUCUGCGUGGGCGCAGCCUUGAGUGAGUUGCAAAACGGAUCCCUCAAACCGCUCGGUUUCUUCUCUAAACGGAUAUCGGAACCGCAAAAAAGCAAAGCACUUAUGGCCGUGAGUUGCUGGCGAUUUGUCUGUCCGGACGGAAUUGCAACAGCAAAGUGAGCACUCUUUCCUACAGCUAAGACAAAUCCAACUUAACGACUCAACGACAUUGUUAUACUGAGACAUUUCGUCAAAAAGAAUCCGUCCGUAUAUCACACACAGCUACCGUAAGCAAGUCUUCCAUUCCAUUCAUAACUAAUCGCACCCAGGUACUGUCUGACGUACAUUGACCUCGGCUCUCACGCUGGCCGGCGGCAGUCCCAAUAGCAGACAUAACGGCAGAGACGGAACUUACUCAGUUGACGGGAUCCAAGCAUCUGCGAAUGACAGCAUACCACCCACAAGCCAAUGGCAUUGUGGAAAGAAUGCACAGGACCCUGAAGACCGCUAUUAAAUGUCACACUGAUUCCAACUGGACCGACAGCCUUCCGAUCGUACUACUUGGCUUGCGAGCAACAUUUAAAGAAAAUCUCAACGUCUCUACAGCAGAAAUGGUUUACGGGACAACUUUAAAAC